This is a long non-coding RNA of Acromyrmex echinatior (Panamanian leafcutter ant), 839 nucleotides long. The record is from RefSeq and is a predicted model, not a curated record. NCBI's taxonomy places the organism in Eukaryota, Metazoa, Arthropoda, Insecta, Hymenoptera, Formicidae.
UUUGGGAUCAAAGCGCGUGCUUCUUCUUUUCCCCCUUUGCCCUCUCUUUUUGCGUCUCCGUCUCUUCGUCUCUGUUGGAGUUAAGAAGAGCAUUGCAAAAAUGUCCUCGCGCGUGCAAUCUCGAGUGCACGAAGGUCGCCGUUUUCAAGAUACCAUGGCGCAUCGCCGCGAUGUGAUCCGACGCGAUGCAACGCGAUACAACGCGAUGCGAUACGUUUCUCGUUGCACUAUCGUAGUCAGCAAUUGACUUACAAGAGCUCGCGUUGCGCACCGGUUAUUAAUAAUUCGUUACCAGGAAACGUUCAGCUCCCGCAACGCGUAUAUGCGAGUAGAAUCAAUUUGAUAUAGUCAAGCGAUAUCAUUGAAAAAGCUGCAAUGUAUCGCUUGGUACUUACAUAUCAUCAAGACCCGUAUAUAUCUCGAUCGACUGGAAUUGUUUUACACGAAAGGACGGAAUCUAGACGCAACCAAUCCCAAAAGAGUCCGAGGAAGAGUCCGAUCUGGACUCAUCAUCAGUGAAGAUUCUGAUCUUAUUCAAGACAAGGCUUUAAAAGUCGUAAAAUUAAAAAGCUCAAUUAGGAUUGGACAACACGUCUUAUUGAGCAAUUGUUGUAACAACUAAUAACGCUAGCUCGGCGAGCAAGUUGUUUUUCUUGUGAUAAAUGCGGCUGCUGUAGCAAAAAUUUAACACGUGCUUGGAUGCACCCAGUUUUGCGCCAUGAUAUAUAUGCAUAUGCAAGGUCGCCGUGGCUGAUCAACGUGAACAUUUGCUACUGUGGAAGUAAAAGUAAAGCCCGAUUUAAGUAAGUAAGGAUAGCAUUAUAAUUAUAUACAUAUAA